This 1241-nucleotide long non-coding RNA is filed under the name Mytilus galloprovincialis (Mediterranean mussel). The record is from RNAcentral. Lineage: Eukaryota; Metazoa; Mollusca; Bivalvia; Mytilida; Mytilidae.
GUUUGAGAAAAAUCUAGUAUAAUGCAAAAUGACAUCUACAGCGGUUCGAGCAAAAUAUCUUCAAAAAUCCAAACCAAGCCGCAUCAAGAUAGAAUAAAAUGUGGACCAAUAAAUGAUCAAAAAUCUAUCUUAUCUGCCUGCAAACAGUUGAAUAUGAUACACAAGCUGAUAUUAGGAAGAUAAAUACCAGUAAUGGACCUCUUUGUCUUCUUUAUAAGGUCUCUUUUGGUCAAGUUAUACCUCUCAUUUCUUCAAAAUUUCAACAUUUCAGGCCAAUAAAUAAAAAUAAUGGGGUAACUAUCACUCAUUUAUGGUAGAAAUGUUAUAAGAAAUGAGUUAUUGAAGCAUUUUAGCUAAAUGAACAAUCUAUAUAAAAGUUAACUUUCUCCAAGGAGCUUUCAAUAAGUCCUAACGUAAAAAUUAAAUUUACGCCUCGUUCAAAAGAGGGACACAAAAGGCUUCUUUUUUAGUGAACAAUUUGUCGUUACAGCAUUACAAAUAAUUUCAUCUACUUAUAACUAUAAGUAUUUCCUAGGAUAAUGUUCUAUCAUAGCAAAAUAUGAGAAAUAAGGAGAAUCCCCACCUCCCCCCCCAAAAAAAAAAACAAAAAAAAAAAACCAACAACAACAACACUUAGUAUGGUUGUUCUGUUUAAUGAAUAUUCAUGGUUGAGUCCUAUUUCAAGACAACUUUCUCAUAAAAUGUGUUUUGGAGACUCAAUAUACUCAGAGUAUUUCAUUUUUUUGUAUUAUUUCACUUAAAUAGCAAGAAUUUUAACACAUGAGAUUACUCACAAGGUCAAAGGUGCAUGUACAGCUUCCCAUACUAUGUGUAAUACCACCAUUGAUUUUUCCCUAUUAGUCUUUGUUAAAUCUCAUUCCAAAAAUGUGCAGAAUUAUCUGUUUUCAAAUAAAGAAAUACUUGGUAAUACUAUGAGUAAAGUUUUAUGCUGUCCAGUUCUAUAGAAAAAAUUCACAAAACACUUCAUUGCAUAUAAGAAAAUAACCAUCAUUGGAAGUUAACCAAUCAAAUUCUCCUCUUAUUUUAUCUGUGUACAAGGUUUAGUCACCAUGUAACCUCAAGAAUACAAACUUUCUAUAGAACCCCCACCCCAAAAAAAAAAAUAAUGGUGUUUUGAAAUACCCAAGAUAUAUGUUAAUGAAACAGAAAUGGUCUUACUGCAAAAAAUGAAGGAGUAAUUACCUACCACUGUCAAAUUCAAGGGAAUAUUUUUUUUCGAC